Molecule: ribosomal RNA, 477 nt
Filed under: uncultured bacterium
Lineage: Bacteria
Description: partial 16S ribosomal RNA
Rfam family: Bacterial small subunit ribosomal RNA
Source: RNAcentral
AUUGAACGCUGGCGGCAUGCCUUACACAUGCAAGUCGAACGGUAACAGGUUAAGCUGACGAGUGGCGAACGGGUGAGUAAUGUAUCGGAACUUGCCCAGUCGUGGGGGAUAACUGCUCGAAAGAGCAGCUAAUACCGCAUACGACCUGAGGGGGAAAGCGGGGGAUCGCAAAACCUCGCGCGAUUGGAGCGGCCGAUAUCAGAUUAGGUAGUUGGUGAGGUAAAGGCUCACCAAGCCGACGAUCUGUAGCUGGUCUGAGAGGACGACCAGCCACACUGGGACUGAGACACGGCCCAGACUCCUACGGGAGGCAGCAGUGGCGAAUUUUGGACAAUGAGCGCAAGCCUGAUCCAGCCAUGCCGCGUGCGGGAAGAAGGUCUUAGGGUUGUAAACCGCUUUUGUCCGGGAAGAAAAGGUUCUGGCUAAUACCUGGGAAUCAUGACGGUACCUGAAGAAUACGCACCGGCUAACUACGUG